GAUGAACACUAGCUACAGGCUUAACACAUGCAAGUCGAGGGGAAACGAUAGAGAAAGCUUGCUUUUUCUAGGCGUCGACCGGCGCACGGGUGAGUAACGCGUAUCCAACCUGCCCAUCACUUGGGGAUAACCUUGCGAAAGUAAGACUAAUACCCAAUGACGUCUCUAGAAGACAUCUGAACGAGAUUAAAGAUUUAUCGGUGAUGGAUGGGGAUGCGUUUGAUUGGCUUGUUGGCGGGGUAACGGCCCACCAAGGCGACGAUCAGUAGGGGUUCGGAGAGGAAGGUCCCCCACAUGGGAACGUAGGCACGGUGCAAACGCCUACGGGAGGCAGCAGGAAGGAAUAUUGGUCAAUGGGCGAGAGCCUGAACCAGCCAAGUAGCCUGCAGAAUGACGGCCCUAUGGGUUGUAAACUACUUUUUUAAGGGAAUAAAGUGAGUCUCGUGAGACUUUUUGCAUGUACCUUAUGAAUAAGGACCGGCUAAUUCCGUGCCAGCCGCCGCGGUAA
This 508-nucleotide ribosomal RNA is filed under the name uncultured bacterium. RNAcentral describes it as "partial 16S ribosomal RNA". It matches the Rfam family "Bacterial small subunit ribosomal RNA", at positions 28 to 523 of the family's 1533-position model. The record is from RNAcentral.